Molecule: long non-coding RNA, 2816 nt
Organism: Sebastes umbrosus (honeycomb rockfish)
Lineage: Eukaryota; Metazoa; Chordata; Actinopteri; Perciformes; Sebastidae
Exons: 3
Source: RefSeq, a predicted model, not a curated record
CGAGCCAUAAUUAGGCACUGCAUGACGAAAUACCUUGUAUCAUAUAGAGUUAAAACUGGAACUAGGACACAUUGUAAAAGUAUCUGCAAACUGGUGCAGGAGAUAAAAACAAACCCUGCAGAGUUGACUGAGUGUGCAUAUUUGGGUAUGACACACAUUUUGAAUAGCAUCCGGUUUGGAAAGAUUCAUCAUCCAGACGCAGAACAAAGAGCAACAGCUAGGCAAUCAUUUUAAUGGAAGGAGACGGAUCUGUUUAGGGAUGGAAAGUCGCACGUCAUGCAAGACUGGGAGCUGCGAGCAACAGCGGGGAUCUGAGCCUCGGGUUCGUGCAAAGUGAGAGGAAAACUCAGAGAGUCUGGCCCACGCGGUGGAAUGGCGGAAAUCCUGGUCUGAUUGUGCUGCGGCGUUUGCUUGUGCUCAGACAGCUCCUAGGAAAGGAAUGUGUGGCCUACAUUCCCUCUCGAGCCCCCGCCUCUGCUUCACCAACACUCACUGUCAGCACGGCGAACUUUAAGAGGCUGCAUACCAAAAACAACAAAGGACGGAAACAUUCGAAGCACAUGGUCCUGAUUUACUGGCAUUUUCCGGAGGGGUGACAGGGAAGCGGUUUAUAAAAAAACAUACGGGACAGUGUUUGCUCUGCAGGUUUGAAAGCACUGCUAUGCAGUCAUUUAAGUCUGACACAGGAGGCAGGAAUGGGUUAAGUCUACUGCAGAGAGAGAAAGCGGAAAGGAGUGGUAUGGUGAGACAGAAGGGGUAGCGGUGGGGGUGGGGAAGGAGUGUGUGUGUGUGUGUGUGGGGGGGGGGGUCAGCGCUGCAUUCAGAUGAAAUUAAAUGGAGGCUAAAGUGCUGACUCAUUGCGUUCAGGCCCUUUAUUACCUGCUCCGUCACCCAGGCUUUAUGGGGUGGGCUGCCAGAAGAAGGCUGGGGGGAUGCAGCGGCAGCCCUCAUUUACAGGAACCCUUUUGGACGCAAUAACACUGCAGUCAGCCAGCCAGCCCCGCGGCUCACCUGCACUCUGCGAAAGCACCCUCUAGGACAACACCCCCAAAAAACACACACACACACACAUCCCCCACCUCUCUCAUUUUUGGCUAAACAGGAGGAAGCCUGCUUUUGCUGCUAAUGAGACAUCAAGGGGAGCUGGGGAAUCUGGGCUUGCUUUGUACAGGCUGGUCUGGUAGGCCGGUCUGUCAUGCUGUCUAGCGGAGGGCAAUUAUUUGAAUAUCCGCAGGAGUGCAGCUGGAGUGCCGCGGCUCAUCUUCAACAGCAAAGACGGCGAAAUUGCCUCACUCCGGCGGAUCAAGCACUAAUUGGACACUUGGCUGGCUGCACAUGCUGUAAAAUGGAUUUUCCCCCUGAAUCAACAGAAACAGCCCUCAGAAAUUCAACAUCAUGCCCCUGCCCUGCAAAUUAUUUCCAAGGCUUCUGUACAGAGUGUAGCAAACGGAAAGUCUGUGCUCGAGACUAAAUUUGUGUACCGCCUGAGGAAAAGAAACGGACCGAUAUCAUGUAUGCAGCAAGUUAUUGAAGCUGUCCCACUUUCAGCAGCGAACAGAUGCAGUGUCCUCGUUUCUUGUAUAGCAAAGCUCUUCUCUGUCACACACCUACACCAUGAUGUAAGUGUUGUUCACACCACAACAACACAUGCGUUUGUACCAUUCACGGAUCCCAUUACAGCACCUCACAGAGACAGACUAUAUGUCACACUGGAUUACACACCUCCUCAUGCAUGAAGACUUACUAAUACUGUACACUCCGAUUAUGAACAAAGAGGAAGGAGAUGCUUUUCUUUUUGAAAUUUGGACUCACCCCCCCUAACCUCAUUUCUAUUUUCCUCUCAUAGCUUCAGUCAGUUUGACGAAUUCUUGCUCAUUAAUCAUCAGCUGUUUCAGACUGUGUAUAUUCCUCUUUUUUACCGCUAUGUUUUGCAAUAUUUUAUGUAGAAUAUUGUUAUUCUUUUUCCAUAUUCACAAUCCUUUUCACUGUUCCUGAGUCACCUAGAGAAAAACUCUAUAAGACAAAACUUAAAGCUGCAUUAAUUAUAUAAUUGAUAACACAGGGAUGUCGCGAAAACUGAUACUUUGGUAUCAAUUCAAAGCCAAAAUUCUGAAAACGUGCAGGUACCCGUUUUUCUACAGUACCACAGGUACUGUCACAGACACCAGGCUCGAGAUCAACAGCGUCCCGCCGUCACGGGCACUAUAUAAAAUGUGUUUGGGACACAGUAAACUCACUAUCGACACGUCAAGGGGACAACGUAUUUUUUUCCAUGAUAAUUCUACAUUGCAAACAACAAAUCUGAGUUGACAUCAGCAGGACGAGAGCUAGUUAACGUUAGCUGUUAACUCUGUGCAGGACUGUGCUGAAAAAAGACCAGGAAACGCUGGAUAAAACACAUCAUGUAAGAUAAUGUUUCAUUUGUGCGUGGAUCAUAGCUAAGUUAGCUAGCUGGCUAGCGUUGGUGACGUAUAUUGUACAAGAUGAGAAAUGUAGCUCAAUGAGCGGUUUCGCACAAAACGAAAUCAUACUUCGACAAACCUACGACAAACUGAGACUUUUUUGAGUCUGAGUGAAAUAUCUCAAUGACAGCUUAAUAUUCCAUUAUGUUUACUAGCUAACCAUGGUGAGAGUGAACCAAAACAGUAACGUUGCAGCCCAUAAAACUAAAAUAAUGAGCUGAAAGAUGCUAAAAUGCAGUUAAAUGAGUCAGGUGAUAAUUGCUCUGAGGGUUCGUCAAAGGGCUGGGCAAUAUGACAAUACGUAUGUAUCGUCAAAACGAUAUAAAAAUGUGUAUUGUAUAUAUUUUUAUUUUA